CAUCCGGCCUGCCCGCAUCGCAACAAUUCGUUCACACAUCGAACCGCCCGCGGACGCUCUGAAACCCUAGCACAGUCCCGUGCCCACUCUGGCCCAUUACCAGUCGCACGCGCCGCCGCCGCUAUCUCCUCUCGAUCUCAUUCGCGUCGCCGCUGUCGCCACCUCCCGCUCCCCCACCCUCUACUCGAUCCCCACCUGUGUCGCCAUCUGCAUCCAACGAGAAGGCAGCGACGACCGCGGCGGUGGAGGCGGCCGAGACGAUGAUGGUUGUGGCCACCCUUGCGUUAGCAGCAGAGGCAGUCGCAGUUCGCUCACUCGAUCAACAUAAUUUUUCUUCUCCCGACUGUGUUGCGAUUGUUGAGGUGGCAGCGAUGAGGUGGCGGAGAGAUUGCAGAGGCGAUCGCUUGGCAAUGGCCAGGCGAUCUGUAGGUUUGAUCUGUUCCUUCAUUCAAUUUUGCUUUCACAUGCCAAAUUAGUUCGAUUAGUUCUGUCCUGCUUCCGUAUUUUUGUGUUGGUGAGGAGCCGGUUCUAGGUUUUUGUUUGGCGAUUGCUUGGCGAUGGCGUUGAGAUCUAGAGGUUCUAUCUGUUCCUUCGUUCGAGAUCUCUCUCAUAUGUGCAAUUAGUUCGAUCUAUUCUAUGUAUAGCUUCCCUGUUUUGCUUCUAUUUCGUGCUUGUGAGGAUCCGGUUUUCGGGAUUUGUAAGUUCAUUUCUUAUUUUAUUCAGGCAACUGGCUGAUGAUUUUGAUGUUCGAUCUAUUCAUUUCAUUGAUUUUGUUGUCGGCUGUUCUUGUAUUUCGAUUAGACCUCUAUGGUUCUCCAUUUCCUGUGCUGCAAUCUAGGUUUAUCUAUAUUUGUUCCACUGAUUUAGUGGUUGUUCUAAUUUUUCAUUUAAUUAUGUCAUGUCCUCCAUUUCAUGUUGGUUUCUGUGUGAUAAAUUAUUAGUUUCGUUUGUUUGUUCCUCUGAUGCUGUUAGAUGUAGGUUCCAUUUUUAUGCUUAGUCUUACAUGAUUAUAUGCUUUUCAUUUAGAAAUGGAUGAAGGUGAUGAGGACCCACUGGUUCUAUUCAAGCACCAUUUUUGCAUGUAGCCACUUGUACAUUUCUGAUGUCACUUGGUUUCCAUUUUUUCUUCUUUUUUCCUGUUACGAUAAACAAUGUUCCAUGUAGCCAUUUCAUAUGUUCUGCAUUACUAUAUAUAAUGUUCCUUUCAAUAUUUAGCUUUGUUCCACGCUGCACCUUUUUUUUUCCAUUUUUCGGGCCAACCCAUAUAAUAUGCCAUAUCCGUUUAUGGAUUGUAUUGUUCCUUACUACUUGAUUACUUGUUCCAUAAAUUAUAUUUUCAUUGCAAAUUUAAAUCCAAAUGUUCGCAAUUCUGCCGAAUUCAUUGUGGAAUAGAAACUUAUCCAUUGCAUUUGUUGAUCAGGUCAUUAGGAAAUAAACUCUGAGGUCAGGACAUACAAUAGCAGAUAAUUGUCCUCGACUGUUUCGUUGUUAUGCUGAUUGUGAUGAACCUGGGAUUUUGUCAAAUUUCAGGGUGCAAACAUUCUUGUCGAUAACAAAGGGUGCAUCAAACUUGCAGAUUUUGGGGCUUCUAAGCAAGUGGCAAAGUUGGCUACUGUGACAGCCGCUAAAAUAAUGAAAGGAACACCAUAUUGGAUGGCACCCGAAGUCAUUGUUGGGAGUGGGUAUAGCUUGUACGUCGAGAAACUCUUCCAGUGCCUGGUUUCUUGCUUUUUCGGGUUUGGUUAAGGCCCAAAUUUUGUCUUCUUUUCUCGUUUUGCUAUAAUUGAUCUCUCAGGAAUAUCUUUUUGUCUAUUUAUUGAGUCAAAGAGUUGAUACGUUGGGAAUUGGGAUUAACCUGCUAAUUUAAAGAUUUAGUAAAAAAUGUACUAUUCCCCUGUUUACUUUACUCUACAGACUGGCAAGUAAUCCUUCUAAAAAAAAAGGAUUGGGGAGUAAUAGCUACAUGCGUUCCUGUACCCUUGCUACUGACAGGACUUUUUUUUUAGGAAGUGCUGAGAGGACUGAAGUGCAUGAGCUAUUGGAUCUGGUUUUCUGAACAACUCUCAAAAUGAGUCAUGUAUUCACAUGAGUUUUCUGUUUUCUCAUCCAUUUGUAAUGACAGGGAGUCCAAUAUGAGAUUAGAUUGACAUGUAGAGGUCACCUCAGUUGUGUUUGAUAUGAUUACACUUAGUUGUGUUUGAUAUGGGUACAAUAACUCAGUUGCAAUGUAGAUGGUACUACAAAGAAGGGAGCCUGAAGUAGCAAUAGAAAGGGAGAAAGUGAAAGGCUGAUAGAUUCAAGAUUUCAAGCUGUAAAAGGAUUUCAUUUGUCCUGAUCAAAUUGUUAAAACUGUGUGGUCUUUAUGUCAUUAUGAAUUAUUUGUUCUUUCUGA
Phragmites australis (common reed) is the source of this 2392-nucleotide long non-coding RNA. RefSeq lists it as uncharacterized. NCBI's taxonomy places the organism in Eukaryota, Viridiplantae, Streptophyta, Magnoliopsida, Poales, Poaceae. The record is from RefSeq and is a predicted model, not a curated record. The transcript is spliced from 2 exons.